This 516-nucleotide long non-coding RNA is filed under the name Homo sapiens (human). RNAcentral describes it as "non-protein coding lnc-FECH-4:1". Lineage: Eukaryota; Metazoa; Chordata; Mammalia; Primates; Hominidae. The record is from RNAcentral.
GGAACCGUAAUCUGCAUUUCUUAAAAGAUCUCUAAGAGGGAGGUGGGAAACAAAUGCCAGUGGGCAAGGGCGAAACAGGGAGACAAUUUCAGCAACCAUUUCAGUGCCCUAAGAAGGAGAUGGCGAGGAGUGAAUGAUCUUCGUGGCCUGGCAGGAGGAGCUCACAUUGUUGACAAUUAACCCAAUCCAAGAGACCUGCAUAAAUCAAUCACUACAGGAAAAAAAAAAUUGUUCUUGAUCUACAGUGACAAAUGUGUAGACAAGGUCAGUGGCCUGGGUUUACAACCUUGCUGUCUGAAGUGAGAAUCUGGGGAGGAAGCUGCCAGUAGAAGACAGGGGCAUUUCCAAGAAUUUCCAGAGACCCAUGCUGAGCAACCUGCUUUGCACUGGACAUUCCCACCCUCAGGCCUAUUUCCUUCCCUUGACAUUUGAUGCUCUCUGCACUGGUCCAUUUUGUGUUGCUAUAAAGGAAUACCUGAGACUGGGUAAUUUAUAAGGAAAAGAGGUUUAUUUGAC